AACUGUGGUUUGAUUGUUUACUUCCGGUUAAUUUCCGGGUUCGUUCUUUACAAACGGAGGGCGGUAAGAAUGGAAAGGUGGCUCCUUUCUCUCCUUGUGUUGUAUAUCUUCUUCGUCAUUGGUGAAGCAAACAUCAAGUGCUAUAGCUGUAAUUAUCCUGAUGAGAAAUGUGGAGACAUUUUUGCUUACACAAAUCCUUAUGCCAACCUGUGUUCGGGUAGCUGUGUAAAGCGUAGAGGGAAACGUUCUCAAGGCACCUAUGAGGUUUACAGGGGGUGCCAUUCACAGACCAAGACAUACUGCCAUGAUGCACAAUACAAUGGAAUGUCGGUUACAGAAUGCUUUUGUAAUGAAGACUAUUGUAACCAUGGUAACAAUGUGAGAAUAUCUGCAGGAAGUUUAAUCGUUGCAGCAAUUACAGUUUUCUGUAACCUUUUAUGAUGCCGUACACUUAAUACUUAAGGAAUUUAUGUGGAUUUGGAUUUUUUAUGAGAUGUUAGGUCACAGUUUCAUCAACAUUCCUUACCAAGGUAAUUUAAUAUUUUCCAUAGGAAAAGAUUAUUAUAAUUAUGAAAAAUUCUUAUUAAGGAACUUUCUUUAAAUUUUGUCAGUGUAGUUCAUUUCUAUGGAAAAUUCUAAGUUAAGAUAUUGCCUUUAGUUAAGAAAUAUUGAUGAAACUGGGGCCCAAUAUCUUACAUUUUCUGAUGUUUAAAAUUAAUAGCCGGGCAUAUUUUAAGCUGGUUAUUCUACUCAGUUUAUGUGUUAUUUGAUAAUAUAAUACGGAGCCACAAACCCAUUUAGAGGAAACAUCGUGGCAAUAAAAAAUUGAUGGUUGUAACAUUAUAUGUAGUUGUCUCCCUUGAUGGCUGUACCAUUAAUUCAUGUUGCUGUGUAUACCCGGUAAUUACAGACAUUUAUCAAGUUUCUUUUUGAGGAGUUGUAUAGUAUAUAUGUAAUGUUUGUCUUCGUUAACUCAUGAUGAUUUCGACUUAUUAGAUUAUUAAUGAACUUUAAUUAUUUAAGUAAAUGUCAUGUGUAAUUAAUAGUCCUGCUGGCUUCUUCGGUUUGUAUUCUCUCAAACGGGUUCAUUGUAUUUUACAUAAAACAGGGUUGUAAAUUCGCUCCAUAUCACCUCUUUCUUCCUUUCAUUAACCUCUCCUAGUGCUCCCGGGCGCUGUAUACACUACAUCAUGAAGGGUUCACUCGACAAAAUAUAAUUUUCACAUUCUGUGUAGAGAUCAAGAUAUUUUACUAUGUCUAGUUUUCAUUACAUAGUGAUGUUGUUUCAAUAUAAAUAUACCACUUUUUUGAUAGUAGAAAUUAGUCCCUAAUAGGAUUGUUUAUACACCACUGGGACCUGACCCCAGACAAUAUACUAUCCCUAAUAUUAAUGAUCAUAAACCAAUAUAAUAUAGACAGAAUAUACAUCUGACAAGAUAUAUGUUAGGUUUCUAAACAAAAAGUCAAACUUAAAAAGUUUUUUUUCAUCUAUGUAUGCUUUGUAUUGACUUAUAACCACACAAAGACAUGUUGGUUCAGAAAAGUGAUAAUAUUUUUGCAAGAUUUUGACAAGCUAUCAGCUAUCUUCAAAUUUGAAGUAAAUAAUUAUCAGUUGUUUUUCAUUUAUCGAAAACCAAGGAUUCUAGUCUUUUCCUCGAUACAGUAUGUCCCUGUUUUCUGUGACUGUGUAAAAGGUCAUAGGGUCACAUUGUCUUGUAAUUGGUUGUGAGUUGUAAUAUAUUUCUAUACACACACACAAAUAAUCCUUAUUAUGUAAGAUAGUUUGUUAGCUGUAUAUAAAGUGUAUAUUAUAUUGUAAAUUGUUUGCUUCCAUUAGAGUUCUGAUGUAUGACAUUAUUGCUUUCACUUCACUGGAACAGACAAGUUUAUGUGACGAUCUAUAUAAAAUUGUAUUGUUAUUGAUAUGGCAUAUGAUACAGGAGUGUUCUUACCUGUACUUGUUGGCCUUACAAACAAGAGGUACAAGUUAAACAGUCCCAGUGUAUUUACACGUAAUUCUAAAUAUCCAAUCAAGUAUUUCUCUGUAAAAUAAUUAUUUUGUUCCACAACCAGUGUUGAUUCAACAAAGGUUCAGUAUUGAGAUAUACUUUGCCUGUGACAAGUCCAAUUUAAUGCACAAGUAUCCUACUUUAUCUAUUAAAAUUGAACUUAAUGGGAUGCUGUUCAUUGAGUUAGGAUGCCAAAAUGUAGGUAGGGCAAUGAAAUAUAUAUUAAUACACAUGUAAUGUAAUUAAAAGGGUGUUUAUCAAUCCUUACUUGUGGUAGAAUCUAAUGUAAAAUUGCCAUGAAGAUAACCGCUGAAAUGUGCAUUUACAGUGAACUACCAAUCACAAAAAUGUUCCAAAUGAUGCCACAUAAUCUACGUGUAUGAUAAAACAUCAAAGUUCUGUGUGGUUGUGAUGUACCAGAAUAUUUACUGUAAUUUAACUUUUAAACAUUCCAUCGUUUGCUUGUAAUUAAUAACUUCUAAUGUCAGUGAUAUAAAUAAUUUGUAUUGAAAUACCUUACAAGAAUUGUCAAUGUUAUAAUGUUAAUAGUUCUGCACUGUCAUUAUCUUGUCCAGAGAUAUGGACUAAAUCAUGAAACAGGUAAUUUAUGACAUACUCGUUACUUCAUCAUUAUUAUAAUAAUCUUCUGUAGACACUUUUCUUUACCAUUAUAAGAGUUUUAUAGCUACAUGUGUAUCAGAGAAUCAUCAGAGACGGUAUCCGUUUGUUACAUAUCCACCCUUCACUUAUAGCUACAUGUGUAUUGGAGAAUCAUCAGAGACGUAUCCGUUUGUUACAUAUCCACCCUUCACUUAUAGCUACAUGUGUAUCGGAGAAUCAUCAGAGACGGUAUCCGUUUGUUACAUAUCCACCCUUCACUUAUAGCUACAUGUGUAUCGGAGAAUCACCAGAGACGGUAUCCGUUUGUUACAUAUCCACCCUUCACUUAUAGCUACAUGUGUAUUGGAGAAUCAUCAGAGACGGUAUCCGUUUGUUACAUAUCCACCCUUCACUUAUAGCUACAUGUGUAUCGGAGAAUCGUCAGAGACGGUAUCCGUUUGUUACAUAUCCACCCUUCACUUAUAGCUACAUGUGUAUCGGAGAAUCACCAGAGACGGUAUCUGUUUGUUACAUAUCCACCCUUCACUUAUAGCUACAUGUGUAUCGGAGAAUCAUCAGAGACGGUAUCCGUUUGUUACAUAUCCACCCUUCACUUAUAGCUACAUGUGUAUCGGAGAAUAAACAUGUGUAUCAGAGAAUCACCAGAGACGGUAUCCGUUUGUUACAUAUCCACCCUUCACUUAUAGCUACAUGUGUAUCGGAGAAUCGUCGGAGACGGUAUCCGUUUGUUACAUAUCCACCCUUCACUUAUAGCUACAUGUGUAUCGGAGAACCAUCGGAGACGGUAUCCGUUUGUUACAUAUCCACCCUUCACUCAGAAGGGGACAUUCCAGAUAUAAUGCAAUACAAUUCCUGCCCAGAUAUUUCAUCAAUUGUGUAAAUUACAUUGUUAACCUUUAGCAUGUUUUUUGUAUGUAAAGUGAAAAUUGGCUGGAAGUUAAUUAUGGCAAUGUUUAACAGGUAAUGUGCCUUAGUUUAGACACAAAUGUUUUAUUUGUAUGUUGUAUCUUAAUUUCUGUAAAUAUUGAGAUGAAUCUGUUAAGUAGGAAUUCAAAGGUGUUUACAACAAGCACAAAACAGUAAAAUUCAUCAAAUUGGAUUUUUUUUCUACUCAAGUGUGUCUCUAUCCAUGUGGAUAUGCCACAAAAUUGCCAACCCCAGUGUUGAUUGUAUUGUAUUUAUUCAUCAUUAUUGUUUUUAUACACUGUAUGAUAGGAUCAUACUGUUAACAAUGACACAUAUCAAUGUACGAUAGGAUCAUACUGUUAACAAUGACACAUAUCAAUGUACGAUCGGAUCAUACUGUUAACAAUGACACAUAUCAACGUACUAUGGGAUCAUACUGUUAACAAUGACACAUAUCAAUGUACGAUAGGAUCAUACUGUUAACAAUGACACAUAUCAAUGUAUGAUGGGAUCAUACUGUUAACAAUGACACAUAUCAAUGUACGAUAGGAUCAUACUGUUAACAUUGACACAUAUCAAUGUAUGAUGGGAUCAUACUGUUAACAAUGACACAUAUCAAUGUAUGAUGGGAUCAUACUGUUAACAAUGACACAUAUCAAUGUACGAUAGGAUCAUACUGUUAACAAUGACACAUAUCAAUGUAUGAUGGGAUCAUACUGUUAACAUUGACACAUAUCAAUGUAUGAUGGGAUCAUACUGUUAACAUUGACACAUAUCAAGCAUCCUUUAUGACCAAUAAAGAUUGUUGUAUUUUAA
This is a long non-coding RNA of Pecten maximus, 4352 nucleotides long. RefSeq lists it as uncharacterized. NCBI's taxonomy places the organism in Eukaryota, Metazoa, Mollusca, Bivalvia, Pectinida, Pectinidae. The record is from RefSeq and is a predicted model, not a curated record. The transcript has 3 exons.